Long non-coding RNA from Aphis gossypii (cotton aphid), 1219 nucleotides. RefSeq lists it as uncharacterized. The record is from RefSeq and is a predicted model, not a curated record. The transcript has 5 exons. Lineage: Eukaryota; Metazoa; Arthropoda; Insecta; Hemiptera; Aphididae.
ACCGCCAAGGCGCAUAUUAACCCGAUUCGGCGAAUGCAGACAUUCAGUCGACUAAUACAAUAAUAAGUUGGUGUCGCGUUUGCGUAGUUUUUAGUUUAUAAUAAUAUGUGCUUAUAAAUCGCUUCAAAAUUUAAUUGUUUGGGACCAGAUCAACGUCGAGGAAGCAGUUGCAACUAUUACAAAAUACAAAAUAUUACAAUACGGUGACGACAAUAUUACGACGACUUAAGUUCUAUCGACUAUCAGUAAACUUUUGCAGGCGAUGAAUAUAAAAUCACUACGAAUCAAGAAACCGCUGGUGGAUACGUACGUUGGAUAAGGAAGCACUGUGUCUCCAGAAAAUGACGUUAUUUUAAAACGAUUUAUGGAGUUCUUAUACUUCUAGAACAGCACCUAUAGAACGAUCGAGUAAGGUAUAAUUAGACCGAGUCUGUAAGGAAUAAGGAUGGUCGAAUAAUAUUUUUAAGGUGCCACUUAUAAAGGAAUAUUUUUGAAGGCCAUCAAAAUGCAAUCUAUAUCUACGCUUUCGUAUCCAAGGAAAGAAGCCUCAAUUAAUUUAGAAUAAACAAAAAUUAUAGAAAAAAAAAUGCCCUGGACUGUUUGUAUACUAUCUUUAUUUAACGAUUUCGGAGCACUCUUUCGCUCAUUGUUAUCUGCAGAUGAUCAUAUUUUCUUUACAUUGGUCUACGCAGUGACAAGUAAGCGGUAUAAUAUUAUUAUUAUUAUAAGCGUUGGCUGUGUACAGUUGUACAUAAAAUACGUUUAUUACAAUUAUACAUGUGCGCAAUAACAAUGUGUGUAUAAGAUAAUUGAUUGCCCCGCGGCUUGGAAAAUAUUCUCCACAUUUGUUUGCCGUUUCACAUCACAUACCUACCUAUACCCGAGGCGUUUCGCAGUUGUGCAGCAGUAGCCACGCGGGGACGGCCGUCGUCGAUGAUGAAUAUAAAUAAUAGGUGUUGCUGUAUAUGCUCCCUUUCCUAUAUUUUAACGCUUCGCGCCUAUGCGGUUAAUAGAGCAGCUUUGGUCCGUCUGCAGAUGCUAAGUUUAGCAUUAUAUUAUUUUAAACUCGUAUCUGUAUCAUGUUGCGGUUUUCAGAACAAAACACGUCGUAUAAUCCAAACGUCGCGAUGUGCAGCCAUAUUCGUGGACUACAGUAACACUUUCGUCUGCUACCUUCUCUCCCAAUAACACAUUUGACUGAUUAACCUUGGUAAGUACU